GCUUCGGAHUUAAAAAAUCCGUCGACUUUAGAAAUCAUGAGGGUUCAAGUCCCUCUAUCCCCA
This 63-nucleotide transfer RNA is filed under the name Sedum surculosum var. luteum. RNAcentral's name for it is "partial tRNA-Leu". Lineage: Eukaryota; Viridiplantae; Streptophyta; Magnoliopsida; Saxifragales; Crassulaceae. The record is from RNAcentral.